GGUUACGUCCAUACCAGUCUGAAAGUGCCUGAUCUCGUCAGAAGUCAUGCAGACUUGGGCCUGCUUAGUACUUGUAUGGGAGACCAACUAGUAACCUCAGGUACCGUAGGCU
This 112-nucleotide ribosomal RNA is filed under the name Pelobates cultripes (western spadefoot toad). Lineage: Eukaryota; Metazoa; Chordata; Amphibia; Anura; Pelobatidae. The record is from RNAcentral.